This 491-nucleotide ribosomal RNA is filed under the name uncultured bacterium. RNAcentral describes it as "bacterial SSU rRNA". It matches the Rfam family "Bacterial small subunit ribosomal RNA", at positions 29 to 494 of the family's 1533-position model. The record is from RNAcentral.
AACGAACGCUGGCGGCGUGGAUAAGACAUGCAAGUCGAACGGGAUUAUUUCCGGUAGCAAUACUGGAGAUAGUCUAGUGGCGAACGGGUGCGUAACACGUGGGCAAUCUGCCGAGAAGUGGGGGAUAGCUCGCCGAAAGGCGAAUUAAUACCGCAUGUGAUCAGGGAAGACAUCUUUCCGACAUCAAAGCCGGGGCAACCUGGCGCUUCUUGAUGAGCCCGCGGCCUAUCAGCUAGUUGGUGAGGUAACGGCUCACCAAGGCAUUGACGGGUAGCUGGUCUGAGAGGACGACCAGUCACACUGGAACUGAGACACGGUCCAGACACCUACGGGUGGCAGCAGUCGAGUAAUUUUUCUCAAUGGGCGAAAGCCUGAAGGAGCGACGCCGCGUGGAGGAUGAAGGUCUUCGGGUUGUAAACUCCUGUCUAUUUGGGAACAAGCUGCACGUUAUUUACUGUACGUGUAUUGAUAGUACCAGAAGAGGAAGAGAC